Camellia sinensis is the source of this 88-nucleotide small nucleolar RNA. RefSeq annotates it as small nucleolar RNA snR60/Z15/Z230/Z193/J17. The record is from RefSeq and is a predicted model, not a curated record. Lineage: Eukaryota; Viridiplantae; Streptophyta; Magnoliopsida; Ericales; Theaceae.
CAGGGUCAGAUGAUGAUUUAAUGCAUAGUUCAAAUGAUAAUAUAUGAUUAAACAUUUGAAAGUCUUUCGCUCCUAUCUGAUGACUCUG